RNAcentral lists this RNase P RNA (367 nucleotides) under bacterium. Its description in RNAcentral is "RNase P RNA component class A". It matches the Rfam family "Bacterial RNase P class A". Rfam says of the family: Ribonuclease P (RNase P) is a ubiquitous endoribonuclease, found in archaea, bacteria and eukarya as well as chloroplasts and mitochondria. Its best characterised activity is the generation of mature 5'-ends of tRNAs by cleaving the 5'-leader elements of precursor-tRNAs. The record is from RNAcentral. RNAcentral also lists the same sequence under 1 other name.
CGAGUUUGCCGGACGGCCGCGGUUGGGUAACAGCAAUCGAGGAAAGUCCGGACUCCAUAGGACAGGGAGCUGGGUAACGCCCAGGCGGGGUGACCCGACGGAAAGUGCCACAGAGAGCAGACCGCCGAUGGCCCGUUUUGGCGGGCACAGGCAAGGGUGAAAGGGUGGUGUAAGAGACCACCGGCAUUCCGGGAGACCGGAGUGGCCGGCAAACCCCUCCCGGAGCAAGGUCAAGCAGAAGCGCCGGUGGUCCGCCGAUCAAGCUUCGGGUAGACCGCACCGAGGUCCGGUGGUAACGCCGACCCCAGAUGGAUGGCCGUCACCUGCCCGGCAGGUACAGAAUCCGGCUUACAGGCAGACUCGUCGC